This 22-nucleotide microRNA is filed under the name Bos taurus (domestic cattle). RNAcentral describes it as "Bta-Novel-1_5p* (star (passenger))". The record is from RNAcentral. Lineage: Eukaryota; Metazoa; Chordata; Mammalia; Artiodactyla; Bovidae.
AAAUAUCAACAGCCUCAGAUUU